This 427-nucleotide ribosomal RNA is filed under the name uncultured bacterium. RNAcentral's name for it is "bacterial SSU rRNA". It matches the Rfam family "Bacterial small subunit ribosomal RNA", at positions 354 to 798 of the family's 1533-position model. The record is from RNAcentral.
GUGGGGAGUAUUGGACAAUGGGGGCAACCCUGAUCCAGCAAUGCCGCGUGAGUGAUGAAGGCCUUAGGGUUGUAAAGCUCUUUCGACGGGGAAGAUGAUGACGGUACCCGUAGAAGAAGCCCCGGCUAACUUCGUGCCAGCAGCCGCGGUAAUACGAAGGGGGCUAGCGUUGUUCGGAUUUACUGGGCGUAAAGGGCGCGUAGGCGGUGCAAUAAGUCAGGCGUGAAAGCCCCGGGCUCAACCCGGGAAUUGCGCUUGAUACUGUUGCGCUUGAAUCCAGGAGAGGAUGGCGGAAUUCCCAGUGUAGAGGUGAAAUUCGUAGAUAUUGGGAAGAACACCAGUGGCGAAGGCGGCCAUCUGGCCUGGAAUUGACGCUGAGGCGCGAAAGCGUGGGGAGCAAACAGGAUUAGAAACCCUGGUAGUCCCC